RNAcentral lists this non-coding RNA (28 nucleotides) under Bombyx mori (domestic silkworm). The record is from RNAcentral. Lineage: Eukaryota; Metazoa; Arthropoda; Insecta; Lepidoptera; Bombycidae.
UCAGAAAGUGAGCAGGAGUAAGGGCAGU